GUAGGGAAUAUUGCACAAUGGGGGAAACCCUGAUGCAGCAACGCCGCGUGUGUGAUGAAGGCUCUCGGGUCGUAAAGCACUGUCGCAGGGGAAUAUGAUGAAGGUACCUUGCAAGAAAGCACCGGCUAACUUCGUGCCAGCAGCCGCGGUAAUACGAGGGGUGCUAGCGUUGUUCGGAAUCAUUGGGCGUAAAGCGCAUGCAGGCGGCUUAGACAGUCAGAUGUGAAAUCCCUGGGCUCAACCCAGGACGUGCAUUUGAUACUUCUAAGCUUGAAUGUCAAAGAGGUUCGUGGAAUUCCAGGUGUAGCGGUGAAAUGCGUAGAUAUCUGGAGGAACAUCGGUGGGGAAGCCGGCGGACUGGUUGAACAUUGACGCUCAGAUGCGAAAGCGUGGGGAGCAAACAGG
Molecule: ribosomal RNA, 405 nt
Filed under: uncultured bacterium
Lineage: Bacteria
Description: bacterial SSU rRNA
Rfam family: Bacterial small subunit ribosomal RNA
Source: RNAcentral